UCGCACUGCUAAAAAUUACAGAGCUUGUAAAAUUUAUCUUGUCAGUAAUUUUUAGGACAGAAUCUAGGCCAGAGUUUAUAUCACAUCUUAUCCCAUAUCUUAAUCUUACCAUAUCUUUCAUGCUUGCAUCAAUGCUCCAAAGUUUCUCACCAGAUUGAUGCAUGCUUUUUGAGCUUAAUAUACUAAAUAAUAUUGCGGGCAUC
RNAcentral lists this long non-coding RNA (203 nucleotides) under Elaeis guineensis (African oil palm). RNAcentral's name for it is "long non-coding RNA (EGUI_LNC029550)". The record is from RNAcentral. Lineage: Eukaryota; Viridiplantae; Streptophyta; Magnoliopsida; Arecales; Arecaceae.